RNAcentral lists this ribosomal RNA (327 nucleotides) under uncultured eukaryote. Its description in RNAcentral is "partial 18S ribosomal RNA". It matches the Rfam family "Eukaryotic small subunit ribosomal RNA", at positions 1470 to 1796 of the family's 1831-position model. The record is from RNAcentral.
CCCUUAGAUGUUCUGGGCCGCACGCGCGCUACACUGACGAAUGCAACGAGCUUAUAACCUUGGCCGAAAGGUCUGGGUAAUCUCCAAAUUUCGUCGUGAUGGGGAUAGAUUAUUGCAAUUAUUAAUCUUCGACGAGGAAUGCCUAGUAAGCGCAAGUCAUCAGCUUGCGUUGAUUACGUCCCUGCCCUUUGUACACACCGCCCGUCGCUCCUACCGAUUGAAUGGUCCGGUGAAGCGUUCGGACCGUGGCCUUUGGACGGUUCGCCGUCUGUUGGCUGCGGGAAGUUCGUUAAACCUUAUCAUUUAGAGGAAGGAGAANUCGUAACA